AUGCAUAUUUACAAGAGUUUCAGAGUCUUCUUCUUGGUGGCUCUUCAAUCAGAUGAAGAAUUGAUGAAGAUAACUCUGGUUGAAGAAAUGUGCUUGAAGGAUCUCAGAGAGAAGUUGAAGGUUUUCUUAAUUUUCUGGACAACAAGGCAGCUAAUGGUUAACUAUUUUUAUGCGGGUUUUGUUUAUGUGCAGCAGAGUUGUAAUGGUUUAGCGAUAACUCUUGAGCAUGAAGGUGAAGAUUGA
This is a non-coding RNA of Vicia faba (fava bean), 243 nucleotides long. The record is from the annotation of a GenBank genome assembly. Lineage: Eukaryota; Viridiplantae; Streptophyta; Magnoliopsida; Fabales; Fabaceae.